CGUUGCCAUUGUUUGGUUCAGGAAUGACUUGAGAGUUCUGGAUAAUGAGGCUCUUUUCAGAGCUUGGGUUUCUUGUAAAGCAAUUUGUGUUGAUCCCAGUGGUAAAUCUGUUCACUUUUGGGAAUUUUGGGAAUACCCAUUAGUUUGGAUUGCCCAAAAUUGGAGUUGUUUGAAGCGGUAUGUCGAAUCUAGAAUGAGCCGUACGUCCCCAGUAAAAAGGGUUGACUUGCCAUACCACUUGUUGCCGUUGCUAACGCUAUGAAGCCUCUUGAUCUGAUAUUUUCAAGUAAUGUGCGAUAUAGGAAUGUUUUUUCGGUUCCCCCAGGUCCAUCUACAAAGAACAAUCCUGCUUCUCCACAAUCGACUCUUUGCAAAAUAGUCUCGAACGCUUGCUUUUGUUCAGGAUUUAGCUUUGAUUGUGCAUCAAAACCUUCCGGAGGCUAGAUACAAGCACAUAUUUGUUGACGUCGGACUUGGAUUUCAUGUGGAAUUCACAUGGUUGGAAGCUAUGAAUUAAAUAUCAGCAAAGGAGGAGAAAUUAGAUAGUUGAAGGUUAAUGACUGAAGGCUGCAUUUCACUAAAAUUGAAUUCAUAAAUUCUGCAUAGUGCUUCUGGCGCAGACACCGAACGUGCAUCUUGAAAGAGAUACUUUAUUGCUUUCACUCCCGAGCAAGACUCUACAUUGAUGUGACAAUUAUAGUAACUAUAUUUUACUAUAAUUCCUUACAUCGAAUAGCACAAUAUAUAAUACCAUUUUUGGAGAGCUGUUGCUUUUUCAAAAGCGGGGUUUAUCAACAGGCUGCUAACAGAUGUAGAAGAUAUCACAGGAUUCCCUUAAAAAUAUAAAAAAGUUAGUGUAAUUAAAAGAUACACAAUUUACCAUAAAUACAACAGUUUUUAAUAUAUUACGUCUGUAUAUUGUACCCUAACAUCACAGAAUGCUAUAAUAGGUCUUUCAACUGUCAACUUUUGUAGCCGUUCAUCCUCUAUUUCUGAGAUGUCGCCCCAUAAAGUUAUAAUCUUCCGAUCACGCCCGAAUUUUACAAUUAAACAUAUAAGAUAAAAAAAAAAUAUA
Long non-coding RNA from Lycium ferocissimum, 1075 nucleotides. RefSeq lists it as uncharacterized. Lineage: Eukaryota; Viridiplantae; Streptophyta; Magnoliopsida; Solanales; Solanaceae. The transcript has 5 exons. The record is from RefSeq and is a predicted model, not a curated record.